Molecule: long non-coding RNA, 165 nt
Filed under: Mustela putorius furo (domestic ferret)
Lineage: Eukaryota; Metazoa; Chordata; Mammalia; Carnivora; Mustelidae
Description: lncRNA (ENSMPUG00000031940.1)
Source: RNAcentral
GUCCCUUUCAGCUGUGCGUAAUGAUAGUAAUAGCCAUAAUAAAUAGCAUGAUUAUUAUGGUUUAAUCCAACGCCCACACUUUACCGGUUAAAAGGGUCAGGAUGUUUUUGCUGAAGGAUUAACUCUCCAAGGACCAACUGAUCUCUAUUCUCUGCAACAAUUUAC